Molecule: unclassified non-coding RNA, 663 nt
Filed under: Hevea brasiliensis (rubber tree)
Lineage: Eukaryota; Viridiplantae; Streptophyta; Magnoliopsida; Malpighiales; Euphorbiaceae
Source: RNAcentral
AGAGACAAGGGAUUUUGAUGUUAAAGAGAUUGAUAUUAUUAGUGAUGGAGAGGAGAUUGUUCAAGAAUUUCAACCUGAAGAUUCAAAGGAGAUUAUUUAGGAAUUUCAACCUGAAGAUUCAAUCCAGCAAAGUUUUGAAGAUGAUAUAAAUGAUGCAAAUGAUGAGAAUAAUCCAGGUUUUGAGAAUUGGAACAAUGGAGGUGGAUUGGGAUUGCCGAUUCGAGGAAAGACCAUUGUAGGCCAAGCUGGAAAAACAGUUCUCUGGCAAUAAAAACAGAUUUCUGUAGAGUAUUGGACGGAGCAUGUAUUUAUGGAUCAUUGCUAUAUUGCAACUGUGGUCACUGUUCUAAUAAACAUGAAUUUCUGAUUGACUUGAGUGUGGAAAUUGAGGAUGUGGUAACUAUUCAAGAUGCUUUAGAAUCUCUCACCAAGGUGGACCAAAUUGCUGAUUUUGGAACAAAGUUUGGAGGUGACAAUUGUAAGGAGGAACUGUCUAAGGAGCAACAAUUUAUGAUAGACCAGGCUCCUACAAUUGCUACAUUGCAUUUGAAGAGAUUCAAGACAAGGGGAUCAUCAUUUAUUGAGAAGAUUGGCAAGCAUAUAGAGUUUCCAUUAGAAUUGGAGUUGAAACCCUACACCAAUUGAGAAGAAAUUACAGAAAUA